RNAcentral lists this ribosomal RNA (478 nucleotides) under uncultured bacterium. RNAcentral's name for it is "partial 16S ribosomal RNA". It matches the Rfam family "Bacterial small subunit ribosomal RNA", at positions 28 to 523 of the family's 1533-position model. The record is from RNAcentral.
GACGAACGCUGGCGGCGUGCUUAACACAUGCAAGUCGAGCGAUGAAAUUCCUUCGGGAAUGGAUUAGCGGCGGACGGGUGAGUAACACGUGGGUAACCUGCCUCAUAGAGGGGAAUAGCCUUCCGAAAGGAAGAUUAAUACCGCAUAAGAUUGUAGUUUCGCAUGAAACAGCGAUUAAAGGAGUAAUCCGCUAUGAGAUGGACCCGCGUCGCAUUAGCUAGUUGGUGAGGUAACGGCUCACCAAGGCGACGAUGCGUAGCCGACCUGAGAGGGUGAUCGGCCACAUUGGGACUGAGACACGGCCCAGACUCCUACGGGAGGCAGCAGUGGGGAAUAUUGCACAAUGGGGGAAACCCUGAUGCAGCAACGCCGCGUGAGUGAUGACGGUCUUCGGAUUGUAAAACUCUGUCUUCAGGGACGAUAAUGACGGUACCUGAGGAGGAAGCCACGGCUAACUACGUGCCAGCCGCCGCAGUAA